Oxyura jamaicensis (ruddy duck) is the source of this 544-nucleotide long non-coding RNA. RefSeq lists it as uncharacterized. NCBI's taxonomy places the organism in Eukaryota, Metazoa, Chordata, Aves, Anseriformes, Anatidae. The transcript is spliced from 3 exons. The record is from RefSeq and is a predicted model, not a curated record.
AUGGGUGCUCUAAGCUGUUCCCCCUGAGUCCCUCAUCCCCAGGGGUCCCUUCUAGGAGCUGUGCCUCCUGGUCCUGGCUUUGUUUGGACUUUGCUUCAGAAGCUGGGCUGUUGCUGGCCCUGGUUGUGACCAUCAGACCUGCUCAGCAGUUGCCCAGAACUCCUCCAAGGCACAAAUGGCAGAUGCACUUCACCUUCACUGUCCUCAAAAUGAAGCAAGGAGUUCCAUAUGGAAGUUAAGGGUCGUCACGAUGCAACAGAUGGAGCUGCGGGUUGACCAUCAAGAAACAAUUCCUGCGAAACCCAGAAGGCGGUGGGAGGAGGAGUGAUAUUUGGAAGGCUGCUUGGCUUGGUGACAGGAGGGUUCUUAUGUUCCAGGGCUGACCUGUAGUUGUGCGAGUCCUGCCCGAUCAAAACUGCGAGUUGGGCUAUAUUUAUUGCUUAAGCAUAUUACUUCCUUGUAGUAGGUUUUCUUUUUUUCCCAAAGUUUUCAUUACUGCUGUCACCGAUGGUGCUGUGCUAAUAACUGUAUUCAUGUAGAGAGA